UACCAGCACCCCGAGUGGUCGGGACGAUUAUUGGGCCUAAAGCAUCCGUAGCCGGCCUUACAAGUCCUCCGUUAAAUCCAGCUGCUUAACAGAUGGGCUGCGGAGGAUACUAUAAGACUAGGAGGCAGGAGAGGCAAGCGGUACUCAGUGGGUAGGGGUAAAAUCCGUUGAUCCAUUGAAGACCACCAGUGGCGAAGGCGGCUUGCCAGAAUGCGCUCGACGGUGAGGGAUGAAAGCUGGGGAGCAACCGGG
Molecule: ribosomal RNA, 252 nt
Filed under: uncultured bacterium
Lineage: Bacteria
Description: partial 16S ribosomal RNA
Rfam family: Archaeal small subunit ribosomal RNA
Source: RNAcentral